AUUGAACGCUGGCGGCAUGCUUUACACAUGCAAGUCGAACGGUAACAGGUCUUCGGAUGCUGACGAGUGGCGAACGGGUGAGUAAUACAUCGGAACGUGCCUAGUAGUGGGGGAUAACUACUCGAAAGAGUGGCUAAUACCGCAUGAGAUCUACGGAUGAAAGCAGGGGAUCGCAAGACCUUGUGCUACUAGAGCGGCCGAUGGCAGAUUAGGUAGUUGGUGGGAUAAAAGCUUACCAAGCCGACGAUCUGUAGCUGGUCUGAGAGGACGAUCAGCCACACUGGGACUGAGACACGGCCCAGACUCCUACGGGAGGCAGCAGUGGGGAAUUUUGGACAAUGGGCGCAAGCCUGAUCCAGCAAUGCCGCGUGCAGGAAGAAGGCCUUCGGGUUGUAAACUGCUUUUGUACGGAACGAAACGGUCCUGGUUAGUACCCGGGGCUAAUGACGGUACCGUAAGAAUAAGCACCGGCUAACUACGUGCCAGCCGCCGCCGUAA
RNAcentral lists this ribosomal RNA (498 nucleotides) under uncultured bacterium. RNAcentral describes it as "partial 16S ribosomal RNA". It matches the Rfam family "Bacterial small subunit ribosomal RNA", at positions 30 to 523 of the family's 1533-position model. The record is from RNAcentral.